Molecule: ribosomal RNA, 407 nt
Filed under: uncultured bacterium
Lineage: Bacteria
Also listed under: 1 other name
Description: bacterial SSU rRNA
Rfam family: Bacterial small subunit ribosomal RNA
Source: RNAcentral
UGGGGAAUAUUGCACAAUGGACGGAAGUCUGAUGCAGCAACGCCGCGUGCGGGAUGACGGCCUUCGGGUUGUAAACCGCUUUCAUCCAUGACGAAGCGAGAGUGACGGUAGUGGGAGAAGAAGCACCGGCUAACUACGUGCCAGCAGCCGCGGUGAUACGUAGGGUGCGAGCGUUGUCCGGAUUUAUUGGGCGUAAAGAGCUUGUAGGCGGUUUGUUGCGUCGGAAGUGAAAACUCAGGGCUUAACUCUGAGCCUGCUUUCGAUACGGGCAGACUUGAGGAAGGUAGGGGAGAAUGGAAUUCCUGGUGAAGCGGUGGAAUGCGUAGAUAUCAGGAGGAACACCGGUGGCGAAGGCGGUUCUCUGGACCUUUCCUGACGCUGAGAAGCGAAAGCGUGGGGAGCAAACA